This 253-nucleotide ribosomal RNA is filed under the name uncultured bacterium. Its description in RNAcentral is "partial 16S ribosomal RNA". It matches the Rfam family "Bacterial small subunit ribosomal RNA", at positions 524 to 776 of the family's 1533-position model. The record is from RNAcentral.
GACAGAGGAUGCAAGCGUUAUCCGGAAUGAUUGGGCGUAAAGCGUCUGUAGGUGGCUUUUCAAGUCCGCCGUCAAAUCCCAGGGCUCAACCCUGGACAGGCGGUGGAAACUACCAAGCUGGAGUACAGUAGGGGCGGAGGGAAUUUCUGGUGGAGCGGUGAAAUGCAUUGAGAUCGGAAAGAACACCAACGGCGAAAGCACUCUGCUGGGCCGACACUGACACUGAGAGACGAAAGCUAGGGGAGCAAAUGGG